GAGCUUAUGUCCAGUUACUCAUUUGGUCAAGAUGAGUAACUAGCCAAACGCCCUUGGAGAAAUGACACAAAAGCUGCCUCGGAUUUCUUCUUCUCGACCCCAGGCUCCACCUACGCACUCUAUUCCUUCCUCCUCUCCACCCCGGGCUCCACCUACCCACUCUAUUCCUUCCUCCUCUGGACCCCGGGCUCCACCUAUCCACUCUAUUCCCUCCUCCUCCCGACACCAGGCUCCACCUACCCACUCCAUUCCUUCCUCCUCUGGACCCCGAGCUCCACCUACCCACUCUUUUGCUUCCUCCUCACGAACCAGGGUUCCACCUACCCACUCCAUUCCUUCCUCCUCUGGACCCCGAGCUCCACCUACCCACUCUUUUGCUUCCUCCUCACAAACCAGGGCUCCACCUAUCCACUCUAUUCCUUCCUCCUCUCGACCCCGAGCUCCACCUACCCACUCUUUUCCUUCCUCCUCUCGAGCCCGAGCUCCACCUACCCACUCUUUUCCUUCCUUCUCUCAUUGUCCAAGGCCGUUUCCUCUUGUACGUAACUCUUUUUGUCCACAGAACACUCCCCAGCGUCAGCCACCUCUCUCAACUCAUAAGCCUAUCUCUUUCCCUCCUGUUCAUAGUGAUGUCCCUCCUGGCCGCCCCAAUGUACAGGUUUCCCCACCCAAAACUUCCUCUAUUCCUUCCAAAACCUCCAGCACCCGCUCCUCUUUUCUCUCUACUGUUCUCCAUUACUCCAGUUUGUUCUUUGAUCCUACUCCCCCUCCCAGCCCUAAGUAGACGUUAAAGUCUUCUGCUCCCCAACAUUCCAGCCAACUCCAUCCAGACCUCUGUGAUUCACAAAUCCUAUCCUGGAGAGAUCAUUUCCCUGUGAGUGGGGCGGUUCUGAUAUCAUCCAGAAUUGCCAGAACAAUCGAUCCCCAGGAGCUUCCCUUGGUGAAUGUUGAGAACUCAAGACAAUGCCAAUCAACAUUUAGCUUGCAGGCCGGACUGAAUGAAUUCUACAUUUAUAACUGGUUUCUCCAUGGAAUUUGGUCUGUGACCACAGAGCAAACAGCAAGACCAGGGACACAAGGUAGAGAAGAGCGAGUGGAAAUCAUGUCAUCUGAUCUCUACACAGAUUCCGUGGAAUCUCAAUCAAAAUUCAGACACAUAUCUUUAGGAAAGGUGAGAAGCUGAUGAUACUUUGCAAUGACAGGCAAAAGAGCCAGGAAUACCCAUGACUCCUUUAAGAACUGCUUCUCUAAGAUGGACGUGUCAGAGCGCUUGCUGUUGCUUCUCCGUGUAACCACGUCAACAACGUCCAUUCUUUCAUCCUGUGAUCGUGUGCUGAGCCCCUGUGGUGUGCUGGCCCAGGCCCCACGGACUUUGAACCCAGGUCGCCCUCCCUCCCCCUGGGGCGUCCUUCUGAUGCCCACGAUCUCCUCUCUGGGUCAGCCCGGAACGUGAUGACCACAGGCUGAACCAUGUCAGGGUGCACAGCGAUAUCGCGCUCCACAACGCUAAAGUGUGGAGCUUGGGAGAAGAUGAUCGCCACACGGAGUGUUCAGCGCCCAUCUCAGCCUCGUUCCUGAAACCCAGCCUGUGUGCUGCGUGGAUAAAUAAAGAGGACUUUCAAGCGUCAGUCGCACCUUUCCUUUGUGGAGUCUCACAUUUUUCUGCCCGCAUGCACUGGUUCAAAUCCUUCAUCUUGGGCAUGGCUGCGGGGCCCAGCGGUUUAGCACCUGCCUUCAGCCCAGGGCGUGAUCCUGGAGUCCCCAGCGGUUUAGCACCUGCCUUCAGCCCAGGGCGUGAUCCUGGAGUCCCGGCAUCCAGCUGCACAGCCGGCUCCCUGCCUGGAGCCUGCGUUCCCCCUGCCUGUGUCGCUACCUGUCUCUCUCUGUGUCUCUCGUGAUUACAUAUAUACAAUCUUUAAAAAGUUCGUGGUGUCCAUCUGAAGUGUAUACUAUCCACUGAUUUCUUUAUCUCAAUGACUCCAUUUUUCUUUCUGGGGCUGGUUUCGUUGUUUGUUUGUUUUGGCAUCUGUUCUUCAGUGUCUUGUACUUUUUCAUAGAAUUUCAAGUUCUUGUUCUACGCCUUUCAUGACGUGAAAUUAUUGGUGAAGUAUUUGUGUAAAUAUGCCCUUUUUUAUACCUGUUGACCAUCCCUCACAUGGAUUGUUUGCUCGUCUGUUUCCUAAUUUUGGAUUGUGAGCUCACCUUCAGCGGGGCUUUCCUUGUGAUCUGGACCAUGGUGGUGCUCCUACAGUGUGACAAAUAUUCUAUCUAACACCUCAGAAGUCCCAUGGACCUAAAACCAGUUUCAUUUUUGGCUGUGGAUCUCUAUAUCACCUAGCUCACAUCUUGGACUCAAAACCCGGGCAAGCGCCGGCCUGAAUGAAUUCUACAUUUAUAACUGGUUUCUCCAUGGAAUUUGGUCUGUGACCACAGAGCAAACAGCAAGACCAGGGACACAAGGUAGAGAAGAGCGAGUGGAAAUCAUGUCAUCUGAUCUCUACACAGCUUCUCUAAGAUGGACGUGUCAGAGCGCUUGCUGUUGCUUCUCCGUGUAACCACGUCAACAACGUCCAUUCUUUCAUCCUGUGAUCGUGUGCUGAGCCCCUGUGGUGUGCUGGCCCAGGCCCCACGGACUUUGAACCCAGGUCGCCCUCCCUCCCCCUGGGGCGUCCUUCUGAUGCCCACGAUCUCCUCUCUGGGUCAGCCCGGAACGUGAUGACCACAGGCUGAACCAUGUCAGGGUGCACAGCGAUAUCGCGCUCCACAACGCUAAAGUGUGGAGCUUGGGAGAAGAUGAUCGCCACACGGAGUGUUCAGCGCGCAUCUCAGCCUCGUUCCUGAAACCCAGCCUGUGUGCUGCGUGGAUAAAUAAAGAGGACUUUCAAGCGUCAGUCGCACCUUUCCUUUGUGGAGUCUCACAUUUUUCUGCCCGCAUGCACUGGUUCAAAUCCUUCAUCUUGGGCAUGGCUGUGGGGCCCAGCGGUUUAGCACCUGCCUUCAGCCCAGGGCG
This is a long non-coding RNA of Canis lupus familiaris (dog), 3010 nucleotides long. RefSeq lists it as uncharacterized. The transcript is spliced from 6 exons. Lineage: Eukaryota; Metazoa; Chordata; Mammalia; Carnivora; Canidae. The record is from RefSeq and is a predicted model, not a curated record.